RNAcentral lists this transfer RNA (70 nucleotides) under Citharoides macrolepidotus (large-scale flounder). RNAcentral describes it as "tRNA-Asp". It matches the Rfam family "tRNA". From Rfam's summary of the family: Transfer RNA (tRNA) molecules are approximately 80 nucleotides in length. Their secondary structure includes four short double-helical elements and three loops (D, anti-codon, and T loops). The record is from RNAcentral. Lineage: Eukaryota; Metazoa; Chordata; Actinopteri; Pleuronectiformes; Citharidae.
AAGGCACUAGUAAAACCCAUUACACCGCCUUGUCAAGGCGGAAUUGCGGGUUAAAACCCCGCGUACCUUG